GCCUACGGGGCGCAGCAGUGGGGGAUAUUGCACAAUGGGGGAAACCCUGAUGCAGCGACGCCGCGUGUGGGAAGACGGUCCUCUGGAUUGUAAACCACUGUCCCCAUGGACGACGCUGACGGUACCUGGGGAGGAAGCUCCGGCUAACUACGUGCCAGCAGCCGCGGUCAUACGUCGGGAGCAAGCGUUGUCCGGAAUUACUGGGUGUAAAGUGCGCGUAGGCGGGAUGGCACGUUGGGUGUUACAUCUACCGGCUCAUCUGGUAGUCGCACUCAAAACUGCUAUUCUUGAGUGACGUAGAGGCG
RNAcentral lists this ribosomal RNA (305 nucleotides) under uncultured bacterium. Its description in RNAcentral is "bacterial SSU rRNA". It matches the Rfam family "Bacterial small subunit ribosomal RNA", at positions 337 to 659 of the family's 1533-position model. The record is from RNAcentral.